GACGAACGCUGGCGGCGUGCUUAACACAUGCAAGUCGAACGAUGAUGGGACUGCUUCGGUGGUUUUUGAUUAGUGGCGAACGGGUGAGUAACACGUGAGUAACCUGCCCUUCACUCUGGGAUAAGCCUUGGAAACGGGGUCUAAUACUGGAUAUUACUUGAGCCCGCAUGGGUUCGGGUGGAAAGCUUUUGUGGUGGAGGAUGGGCUCGCGGCCUAUCAGCUUGUUGGUGAGGUGAUGGCUUACCAAGGCGACGACGGGUAGCCGGCCUGAGAGGGUGACCGGCCACACUGGGACUGAGACACGGCCCAGACUCCUACGGGAGGCAGCAGUGGGGAAUAUUGCACAAUGACGGAAGGUACUGAUGCAGCGACGCGCGU
RNAcentral lists this ribosomal RNA (378 nucleotides) under uncultured bacterium. RNAcentral's name for it is "bacterial SSU rRNA". It matches the Rfam family "Bacterial small subunit ribosomal RNA", at positions 28 to 402 of the family's 1533-position model. The record is from RNAcentral.